CUCAUCUCUCUCUCUCCACCACCAACUAUACUCAUUCUAGCUUUUUCCUUGCUUUGCUCUUCUCUAAACCUUCCCUGAGCCCUAUGGUAUGCAUCUUGUUCUUAAUCACUCUGUUUGUUGUUUCCUUGGCACUUGAUCUUUAAUUUUACCCUUUAUUUAUUUGCUAGAUUGUAAGUAUGUUACUGUUGUUCUCAACAUAAACUAGUACUCUGAAUGAGAAAAAUUGUAUCUAAACAUUUGAACAAGGAAAGUUCCUUUAAAUUUUUAUGUAGGAUGGCAAGGAGCGUGCAAGUGGGAAGAAGAAGAAGACCAUUGAAGUAGGACCAUGGGGAGGAAAUGGUGGAGCUGAUUGGGACGAUGGGAUCUACAAUGGGGUGAGAGAGAUCACGCUUGCUUACGGUCUUUGCAUCGACUCCAUUACUGUGGUGUAUGAUAGAAACGGUAAGCCUGUCAAGGCAGAAACGCAUGGUGGUCGCGGAGGCGAUCAAACUGCUGAGGUACGUUUCGAUCCUUGUACUCUUUCUUUUAAUCGACAACUUUCGUCCAUGAGAUUUAAACUCCAGACAUCCUCUAACAAAGUGGAGACUGAUGCCAAUAGAGCAAAUGGUCAUAGGCUUCAAAGCUCGUACUUCAAAAUUAGAUUAAGAUUGACAGAAAGUGUAUCAAAUUUGAUGAUAAUUUAUUUCAUAGAGGCGAGAUAUCGAGACAAAAAUAUUUUGAUUUCGGCCUGACUUUUUUCGUGCAGAUAAAGCUUCAGUACCCAGAUGAGUUCCUAGUCAGUGUAAGUGGACACUAUUGUCCUAUGGUGUAUGGUGGCGGCCCGAUAAUCCGGUCACUCAAAUUUCAGAGCAAUAGAAGAACAUUUGGACCAUAUGGAAUUGAAGAAGGCACACCUUUUACUUUCACAGUGGAUGGAGGCAAAAUUGUUGGAUUAAAGGGAAGAAAUGGAUGGUACCUAGAUGCCAUUGGGUUUCAUGUAUCCCCUCCCCAAACCAAAAAACUCUUUCAGAGUAUUCAGAAGAGUUUUAGAAGGCUUGGGAGCUCGGUUUCAAAACCUUAGACUGCUCAAAGUUGAAAGCAUAUUGACUUAGAGCUCAUGCCUGCCGCCAUACGAGUUCUUAAAAUCACCAAAAGCUCAAAAAUAUUGCACAUAUAUAAGCUACUCUUUCUGCUUGGGAUUAUGUCUUUCCUUUUAAGUACACUAAAGCCAUCCAAAUAAUGUUUAGUGUUUUCUGUACCAUCAAUGGAAUAUUAUGUUUCAAUAGCGGGUAGCGAAACAUGCGUCGAUUGUUCUUAUUAAUAGCGUUGGGUCGAUAAUCAGAUUAAAAUAAUUGAACAGCAAUCUAAAAGGAUUAAAGGAAAGGAG
Molecule: long non-coding RNA, 1366 nt
Filed under: Prunus dulcis (almond)
Lineage: Eukaryota; Viridiplantae; Streptophyta; Magnoliopsida; Rosales; Rosaceae
Description: sRNA ncRNA
Source: RNAcentral